Molecule: long non-coding RNA, 911 nt
Organism: Polypterus senegalus (gray bichir)
Lineage: Eukaryota; Metazoa; Chordata; Cladistia; Polypteriformes; Polypteridae
Exons: 3
Source: RefSeq, a predicted model, not a curated record
CCACGGUAUAAAGACUUGCAGGUAAGGUGGACUGCAGGUGACGUUACAUUGACCCGUGUGUGUCUAGCGAUUGUUCUUGCGCCCUAUGCAUGCUGGGAUACGCUCCAACUCCCCCGCGCCUCUGCUCAGAGUGAAGCAGGUUUACAGAAUGCAUGGAUAUGCAAUGGAGGACUACUCAUGAAGUAACUGGGUGGGAUGUAUUCACAGAUGGCCCAAAAAACAUCUUAGGAAAAACGAUAGCAGCUUUUUAUAUUAUGAACUUUGGCGUAUGGAAAGGGAAAAGACUGCUAAAUGAUUUAACAAGCUACACGGCGGAAUUAAUGGCGUUUAUUUUAGCGUUAGACCAACAAAGGUUAUUUAUCUGCUCGGAUUCCCAUUCGACAUUGUUGUCGUUUAAAGCAGAUGAAUGUAUGACUAGGCAGGAUAUGCUUCUGGAAAUAUUGCAUUUAUAUAACCGUGUAAUUAGCUGCAAUAACAUUAAAGAAUCAUCUGGGGAGAACAGUCAGUAGCACUGACAUGUACAAACAGCUGACGACAAUUGUUAAAAACACUGGAUUAAGGAAAAUAAUACAGCAAUGAUUAUGGAAUAGGAAAUUUUGCCUCCAUACAGCAGAUGGCGGUAAUAUAUCAAGAGAACCUAAACGGCCGUUUGCUAAACGAAGAAAGGCACGCAUGCGCAGUGCAAAGCAGGCGGAAACACGCAGCACGUGGUAUCUUGUGGCGAGUUUUUCAGUGAAGCGGGACUCUAGGUUUCAAAAAAGGACAGGAGGUGGUGGUCUCCAGCCUUCAGACUUGUAUCAAGGUAAAAGUCUACAGCCUUCAGCUCUCAGAUAUGGAGGAGGUGAGCCCAUCUGUCUGUAUGAAAGGUCAAGGUGAAGAGGGGGGCUCGGAAGAGGUCUGUGAUGAUAAGA